Anneissia japonica is the source of this 150-nucleotide small nuclear RNA. RefSeq annotates it as U12 minor spliceosomal RNA. NCBI's taxonomy places the organism in Eukaryota, Metazoa, Echinodermata, Crinoidea, Comatulida, Comatulidae. The record is from RefSeq and is a predicted model, not a curated record. The transcript has a single exon.
AUGCCUUAAACUAAUGAGUAAGGAAAAUAACGAGUCCGGGUGACGCCGGGUUCCACAGUUCAUACUGUGAGAAAUUUUUCUAUGGGGAAAGGUCGCCCUCGGUGUGACUUGCCUACUUUCGCGAGAUGCCCGUGUUGAGUGAUCUACCCC